CCAAGGAGUCUAACAUGUGCGCGAGUCAUUGGGACUUGCUUAGGCCCAAAGGCGCAAUGAAAGUGAAGGUCGGCCCCCGAUGUCGACCGAGUUGGGAUCCCGCGCCUACCCCUUACAGGUGCGCGGGAGCACCAACGACCCGUCCCGUCCGCACCGUCGGUGGGGCGGAGUGUGAGCGUACACGUUGGGACCCGAAAGAUGGUGAACUAUGCCUGGGCAGGACGAAGCCAGAGGAAACUCUGGUGGAGGUCCGUAGCGAUUCUGACGUGCAAAUCGAUCGUCAGACCCGGGUAUAGGGGCGAAAGACUAAUCGA
RNAcentral lists this ribosomal RNA (314 nucleotides) under Paraphrynus sp. GG-2000. RNAcentral's name for it is "eukaryotic LSU rRNA". It matches the Rfam family "Eukaryotic large subunit ribosomal RNA", at positions 666 to 938 of the family's 3401-position model. Lineage: Eukaryota; Metazoa; Arthropoda; Arachnida; Amblypygi; Phrynidae. The record is from RNAcentral.